This 439-nucleotide ribosomal RNA is filed under the name uncultured bacterium. RNAcentral's name for it is "bacterial SSU rRNA". It matches the Rfam family "Bacterial small subunit ribosomal RNA", at positions 958 to 1398 of the family's 1533-position model. The record is from RNAcentral.
AACGCGAAGAACCUUACCUAGACUUGACAUCCUCGGACCGGUCCAGAGAUGGAUCUUUCCCUUCGGGGACCGGGAGACAGGUGCUGCAUGGCUGUCGUCAGCUCGUAUCGUGAGAUGUCGGGUUAAGUCCCUUAACGAGCGCAACCCUUAUCAUUAGUUGCCAUCAUUCAGUUGGGCACUCUACUGAGACUGCCGGUGUUAAACCGGAGGAAGGUGGGGAUGACGUCAAGUCCUCAUGGCCUUUAUGUCUAGGGCUACACACGUGCUACAAUGGCCGGUACAGAGGGCUGCUAACCCGCGAGGGGGAGCUAAUCCCAGAAAGCCGGUCUCAGUUCGGAUUGAAGUCUGCAACUCGACUUCAUGAAGCUGGAAUCGCUAGUAAUCGCGGAUCAGAACGCCGCGGUGAAUACGUUCCCGGGCCUUGUACACACCGCGCAUA